UACGUAGGGGGCGAGCGUUGUCCGGAGUUACUGGGCGUAAAGGGCGUGCAGGCGGUGCGGUAAGUUUGGAGUGACAGUCCCCGGCUUAACUGGGGAAGGCCUCGCAAAAACUGCCGGACUUGAGGGCCAGAGAGGGACAUAGAAUUCCGGGUGGAGUGGUGAAAUGCGUAGAUAUCCGGAGGAAUACCAAAGGCGAAGGCAGUGUCCUGGCUGGCAACUGACGCUGAGGCGCGAAAGCUAGGGGAGCGAACAGG
This 254-nucleotide ribosomal RNA is filed under the name uncultured bacterium. Its description in RNAcentral is "partial 16S ribosomal RNA". It matches the Rfam family "Bacterial small subunit ribosomal RNA", at positions 524 to 776 of the family's 1533-position model. The record is from RNAcentral.